Molecule: long non-coding RNA, 542 nt
Organism: Pygocentrus nattereri (red-bellied piranha)
Lineage: Eukaryota; Metazoa; Chordata; Actinopteri; Characiformes; Serrasalmidae
Exons: 3
Source: RefSeq, a predicted model, not a curated record
GUGAAGAAGCAUGCGGAGACCCUCCCUCGGUACACACGCCCGAGCACCGCCCGGUUCACCUCAGCCGUGAGCGGGGACGGACCCAACGGUCGCUCGCUGCCUUCCUUCUUAAGCCAGUCUAUUAUCAUGAUACCGAAAGUCUGUGCAAGCGCAAAAACAGACGGCGGUACCAGAAAUAAGGGAGCAGCGAUGACAUGAGAUGGCAGCGAACACUUUUGGAGCGAUGCUGAAACCAAAUAUGUGCUUGAUGAAAUGAAGGAUUUAAAUAUUCUUCAUCUUCUGAAGAUAUGUGCUUAUAUUUUCAGAUUUCUCAGUCUGCGCAUGAGUGACAACAAGCUGCAGAACUGGAAAAGCCAAGCAGCGAUUAACACAGCACCCACAAGAUGGCAUCAAAACACUUCUACCGUGACGCUGAAAACAACUACAUGCUUGCCGAAAUGAGGAAUUUAAAGACUCUUCAUCUUCUAGAUAGCACAUGUUUAUAUUUUCAGGUUAAGUAGCUCAAUGAUUAAAAAUAAAAGCCGCGGCAUGAAGUUUGAGUU